Molecule: ribosomal RNA, 466 nt
Filed under: uncultured bacterium
Lineage: Bacteria
Description: partial 16S ribosomal RNA
Rfam family: Bacterial small subunit ribosomal RNA
Source: RNAcentral
GAUGAACGCUGGCGGCGUGCUUAACACAUGCAAGUCGAACGGAAAGGCUCCUGCUUGCAGGGGUACUCGAGUGGCGAACGGGUGAGUAACACGUGGGUGAUCUGCCCUGCACUUCGGGAUAAGCCUGGGAAACUGGGUCUAAUACCGGAUAGGACGAUGGUUUGGAUGCCAUUGUGGAAAGUUUUUCGGUGUGGGAUGAGCUCGCGGCCUAUCAGCUUGUUGGUGGGGUAAUGGCCUACCAAGGCGUCGACGGGUAGCCGGCCUGAGAGGGUGUACGGCCACAUUGGGACUGAGAUACGGCCCAGACUCCUACGGGAGGCAGCAGUGGGGAAUAUUGCACAAUGGGCGCAAGCCUGAUGCAGCGACGCCGCGUGGGGGAUGACGGCCUUCGGGUUGUAAACUCCUUUCGCUAGGGACGAAGCGUUUUGUGACGGUACCUCGAGAAGAAGCACCGGCUAACUACGUG